UGUUCAGUAAAUCUAAACACACGAUGCAGUCAUUUCAUUCAGAUGCAAUCGAUCAGAAAAUGAUGUGUAAUGUGUGACUACGGGGGAAAAGAAACUGCCCAAUCAUCAUGAGUAUGUUUUCAUAGAUGAGAAUGGAACAGACAAAAAUGAGAGGCGACAAUCAAGGUAGAGAUAGAAACUGAGAGAAGCUUUGUCAUUGAAAUUUCUGGAGCUGAAGACUUCCCUUGAAUUACAUCCUAUUUUCACUAAGAGAUGAAGCCCACAACCCACCAUUUGGUCUAUCAGCAGUGAUGUUCAGAAAACAAGAUAUCCUGGAAUGCUGGCAUGAUUGUUUGGUUCAACAAUCCCCAGGUUCUGUUCUGUGGUUUGACAAAAUUCACCAGACCUGCUAUGUUACCUUCUGGAGAGAACUCAGUUGUAUACACUGCGGUGGUGACAGAGCGUGGCAGGAGCUGGGGCCAGGUGGGAGCGGGUGGCGGCAAAGCGGCAAGCAAGUAAAGUGGCAGAGCAGCGAGCCCGGGCCGAGGCUUCACCCAGUGCAGAUGAAAGUGUGCCCAGCGUGGGGAAGAGCCCUGUCAGACCCAUGGCCUAGGAAUGGACUGUAAUAUUUAACUUUUAACUUUAUUUUUCUACUCAAUAUUAGGAAGCGUACUGAUGAAGUUUUUGACUUAUUUCUUUACUUUUCUAUUUUUGUACCAAAGAUUUUGUACUUAGGUACCUUUGUACCGAAGAUGGUGCCUGGAAUGGUGACUUUGUACACUUUUCAGUGUACUCCUGUAUCCCUGUACCUGAGCACAUUUGACAAGAAAACCUAAAUCUAAAGUUUAUCCAACAUUCUCUAUUUUAGAUAUCCAGCAUCUGCAGUAUUUUGUCAAUAGCUGAAUGUUGGUUUGCAGAAAUAAAGAAUUUCCAUUUAUAAGGUAUUUGCAUAUUCUGAGAAAAGCCAAAAAACACUUCACAGUUAAUUAUUUUUGA
Stegostoma tigrinum is the source of this 975-nucleotide long non-coding RNA. RefSeq lists it as uncharacterized. The transcript is spliced from 3 exons. NCBI's taxonomy places the organism in Eukaryota, Metazoa, Chordata, Chondrichthyes, Orectolobiformes, Stegostomatidae. The record is from RefSeq and is a predicted model, not a curated record.